RNAcentral lists this ribosomal RNA (429 nucleotides) under Verrucomicrobiota bacterium. Its description in RNAcentral is "Verrucomicrobia bacterium partial 16S ribosomal RNA". It matches the Rfam family "Bacterial small subunit ribosomal RNA", at positions 355 to 776 of the family's 1533-position model. The record is from RNAcentral. Lineage: Bacteria; Pseudomonadati; Verrucomicrobiota.
UAGGGAAUCUUCCGCAAUGGACGAAAGUCUGACGGAGCAACGCCGCGUGAGUGAAGAAGGAUUUCGGUUCGUAAAACUCUGUUGUUAGGGAAGAAAAAAUGUAUAGUAACUAUAUACAAAAGAGACGGUACCUACCCAGAAAGCCACGGCUAACUACGUGCCAGCAGCCGCGGUAAUACGUAGGUGGCAAGCGUUGUCCGGAAUUAUUGGGCGUAAAGCGCGCGCAGGUGGUUUAGAAAGUCUGAUGUGAAAGCCCACGGCUCAACCGUGGAGGGUCAUUGGAAAAUAAUAAACUUGAGUGCAGGAGAGAAAAGUGGAAUUCCUAGUGUAGCGGUGAAAUGCGUAGAGAUUAGGAGGAACACCGGUGGCGAAAGCGGCUUUUUGGCCUGCAACUGACACUGAGGCGCGAAAGCGUGGGGAGCAAACAGG